Molecule: ribosomal RNA, 192 nt
Filed under: Triticum aestivum (bread wheat)
Lineage: Eukaryota; Viridiplantae; Streptophyta; Magnoliopsida; Poales; Poaceae
Description: partial small subunit ribosomal RNA
Source: RNAcentral
AUGUUGGUUUGGAAUGUACGGGGGUUGAACAAUCCUGCUCGGCGUAGCUCUGUUCGCUUGUUUAUGCAGACUUGUGAUGUUUCAUUGGUGUGUUUCCAAGAAUCUAAGUUGAAUAUGGUGGAUACUGCGGUGGUCUCCCAGACUUUGGGUCCUAGUUUUGAUGGUUUUGAUGCCUUACCGGCGGAUAGCACU